Molecule: transfer RNA, 72 nt
Filed under: Marmota marmota marmota (Alpine marmot)
Lineage: Eukaryota; Metazoa; Chordata; Mammalia; Rodentia; Sciuridae
Also listed under: 1 other name
Rfam family: tRNA
About the family: Transfer RNA (tRNA) molecules are approximately 80 nucleotides in length. Their secondary structure includes four short double-helical elements and three loops (D, anti-codon, and T loops). Further hydrogen bonds mediate the characteristic L-shaped molecular structure. tRNAs have two regions of fundamental functional importance: the anti-codon, which is responsible for specific mRNA codon recognition, and the 3' end, to which the tRNAs corresponding amino acid is attached (by aminoacyl-tRNA synthetases). tRNAs cope with the degeneracy of the genetic code in two manners: having more than one tRNA (with a specific anti-codon) for a particular amino acid; and 'wobble' base-pairing, i.e. permitting non-standard base-pairing at the 3rd anti-codon position.
Source: Rfam by way of RNAcentral
AGUGUUGUGGCUCAGUGGUAGAGCACUUGCCUAGCAUGUGUGAGGCCCUGGGUUCGAUCCUCAGCACCACAU